RNAcentral lists this ribosomal RNA (466 nucleotides) under uncultured Rhodoferax sp. RNAcentral's name for it is "bacterial SSU rRNA". It matches the Rfam family "Bacterial small subunit ribosomal RNA", at positions 917 to 1381 of the family's 1533-position model. Lineage: Bacteria; Pseudomonadati; Pseudomonadota; Betaproteobacteria; Burkholderiales; Comamonadaceae. The record is from RNAcentral.
ACGGGACCGCACAAGCGGUGGAUGAUGUGGUUAAUUCGAUGACAACGCGAAAACCUUACCCACCUUUGACAUGUACGGAAGCCUUUAGAGAUAGAGGCGUGCUCGAAAGAGAGCCGUAACACAGGUGCUGCAUGGCUGUCGUCAGCUCGUGUCGUGAGAUGUUGGGUUAAGUCCCGCAACGAGCGCAACCCUUGUCAUUAGUUGCUACAUUCAGUUGGGCACUCUAAUGAGACUGCCGGUGACAAGCCGGAGGAAGGUGGGGAUGACGUCAAGUCCUCAUGGCCCUUAUAGGUGGGGCUACACACGUCAUACAAUGGCUGGUACAAAGGGUUGCCAACCCGCGAGGGGGAGCUAAUCCCAUAAAGCCAGUCGUAGUCCGGAUCGUAGUCUGCAACUCGACUACGUGAAGUCGGAAUCGCUAGUAAUCGUGGAUCAGAAUGUCACGGUGAAUACGUUCCCGGGCCUU